AGAGCAGAGUUUUUCUUUGCUCAAAGUCUAAGCACUGAAGAACUUCUUUUUAGUAGGUAGAUUUUUGUUUGUUUGUUUGUUUGUUUUUGAGACGGAGUCUCACUCUGUGGCCCAGGCUGUGGUGCAGUGGCGCGAUCUCGGCUCACUGCAAGCUCUGCCUCCCGGGUUCACACCAUUCUCCUGCCUCAGCCUCCCGAGUAGCUGGGACUACAGGUGCCAGCCACCACGCCUGGCUAAUUUUUUUGCAUUUUUUAGUAGAGAUGGGGUUUCAUCGUGUUAGCCAGGCUGGUCUUGAUCUCCUGACCUCAUGAUCCGCCCGCCUUGGCCUCCCAGAGUGCUGGGAUCACAGGCGUGAUUUAGUAGGUAGUUUUGAGUAGGGAGUAUACAUUUAAAAUGCUGAAACUCAGUUAAGGAAUAAUCUAAUACUGUAUUAAACUGAAACUCAGUUGAGAAAUUUCUUUCCAAUAAAAAGGAAAAUCAACUGCAGUAAUGAGGGAGAUGAUUCUGCUGAUAAUUACAACAAAUAUUUACCACAGACCUGUUAGGCACCAUGAACUGUACUAAAUAUUUUAUACAUAUAACUUUAUCUUGUGCUCCAACAACCUAUUACAUAGAAAUUGCUAUUAUUCCCAUUUUCUAGAUUAAUAAAUUGGUAUAGAGGGGUCGUAUAGGUGAAACAACUCACUCAAUAUCACAAGCUGUUAUGUGGUGAAGUUUGCAUGAUCAGUACAGGGUUCUGGUCGUCCCACUCAUUGAGUGGUGCUGGUCAAGAUCUGGAAGCUCUUCUGGUCUUAGUUUCUCUAGCUGUGAAGUGACAAUGAUUAGGUCUAAUCAUAGAACAUGAGAGUACAUGUGAAAAAAAUGCCUUUUUAAAGAGUAUGAAAAACUUGAGUUGUAAAAUUUUCUUGUGGAUAAUUUAUUAUUGCUUUUCUUUUUUAGAUAACACUAACAAAGUUGACCUUAGAAUUGGAGUGCCCGGGUUAGAACCUUGCUGGUACCACCUGCUUACUGCAUGCUUCUGAUGUGAGUUCAGGAGAAGCCACUGGCAAGGACAGCAAAGAACAGGAGAACACUCUAGCUUCCCUGAUAGCAUUCAAGGUGCUGUCCAAACUGACUGUGAUGGCACCCUCCAGACAGACAGCGAUGCCACAUGUUCAAGAUGGCAGAAUCACUAACAGCUUCAAUUCCUGAAUGACUGCAGAGCAAAAUUUCUUACCCGCAACAUACACUCUAUUUUCAGCCUCCCUGGACUGUUACAUAAUGAUACAUAAAAAUAUUUCUUGUGUUGAGGCAUCCCAAAUUUGAUCUAUUUGUCAUCACAGUUUAUCCUACGAAUAUAUUUCUGAUCCAAAUAAUGCUAGAUUCAUGAGAGUUUAUAGUCCAGAGAUUUUUUUUUUUUUUUUUUUUUGAGACAGAAUCUCACUGUCUGCCAGGCUGGGGUGCAGUGGCAUAAUCUUAGCUCACUGCAACCUCCGCCUCCUGGGCUCAAGUGAUCCUCCCUCCUUAGCCUCCAUGAAUAGCUGGGACCACAGGUGUGCACCACCCCACCCAGCUAAUUAUUUUGUAUUUUUUGCAGAGACGGGGUUUCACCACAUUGCCCAAGCUGGUCUCAAACUCCUAGACUUAAGGGAUCUUCCCGCCUUGGCCUCCCAAAAUGCUGAAAUUACAUGUGUUAGCCAUAGUAAUAGUUCCUAGCCAUAGUCCAGAGAUAUUUUAAAAACUUUAGUGUGAGUUAUUUCUCUUUGCUAUAAUUCUCUCAUGCAUUUUGAAAACCUUUUCUGCCAUACAGUGGUUUUUGGGAAGUCCUUUUGGACAGACAUAUCACAGGAUGGAGAAACUAAAAA
RNAcentral lists this small RNA (1844 nucleotides) under Pongo abelii (Sumatran orangutan). RNAcentral's name for it is "retained intron". The record is from RNAcentral. Lineage: Eukaryota; Metazoa; Chordata; Mammalia; Primates; Hominidae.